Hordeum vulgare subsp. vulgare (domesticated barley) is the source of this 1449-nucleotide long non-coding RNA. RefSeq lists it as uncharacterized. The record is from RefSeq and is a predicted model, not a curated record. NCBI's taxonomy places the organism in Eukaryota, Viridiplantae, Streptophyta, Magnoliopsida, Poales, Poaceae. The transcript is spliced from 3 exons.
CUUUUUUUCAUGUGGAAAAUAUUCAGCGCACUUUUACUCUUCUUGGUUGUGGAUACUACAGUAAAUCUUGAUCUAACUCAGUGUACCUCUAAGAGAGCAACAAAAUGUACUUUAUAUCCUUAUGAUUGUUCUGUUAUGAUAGCAGGCGACUCAAUUGUUGCCUAAAUUGAGCCCCAAUUAGUCUUCUCAUUUUAUAACAGGAUGUCAAGAGACAUUUCAUAUUAUUUACGUUCUAGGAGGAAAUCUAUAUUAUACACAAAGUAAUGGAGGGGGUGACCCCUUCCACUGUAUAACUUUCUGACAUGAAAAUACUAUAUGCCAUUAAUUCAGGAGUAUAUCUAAUAAUUGAUCUUACAAAAUGUGUCAACUUCUGGACUGGGUCUAACAGUCCCAUCUCACAUUUCUCUUUUGAAAUAGUUAAGGAGCUUUCAGCUAUAGCUAUACAACUUCUUGAGAGUAGUAACCUCAUGGUACCAUGUUUAUUGCUCACACAUCUAUAUUUUUUUUAUUCAUAAAAUAGUUUCUGUUGAAUCUUAUUAUCAAACAGUAUUGGUAUGGGCCUUUGAGCGUGUCAGGGAUGCCAAAUAUUGAAUCCAAUUCUUUUUAUCUUGAGCACUGAAACAAUAGAAUUUUUUAUGUCAUACUUAUGCAUCUAUCUAUAAGUGCUUCAUGUUACUUUGCAUUUCCAGGGACCCAUCUUACAACCAUCUGUCAGAAACAACACCUGGCUCUUAGUCAACUCCCAUGACUUACAUUUUUGUUGGUGUUCUUCCUGGUCUGACAUUGUUUUUCGAGACUGCAGCAAAGAUCCCCUUAAAUCAUAGAUAUCUCCAUCUGCCGUGUUAGUUUGCCAAGCAACUACAGUAUGGGUCUGGUAGAUAACUCCCGACAGGCUGAUGACUCUUAAGAUUUAGAAGUCGUUGACUAUUUGACCAAGUUUAUGCGCCAUCUAUUUGGGGACGGAGGGAGUAUUACUUUAGCAAACAACUGGUAGUCACAUUGGGUGAGCAUGAAAUUGCAUGGGUUUAUGCAGAAGCUGGAAGGGUGGAUGAGAAACCUCUACAUAGGGGGGCCAUAAUUUGGUGAUGCUACAGAUGAUUAGGCCAAACCCUAGUGGUUAGUAUGUGAGUGUUAUUUAGUUACAUGCAUGUCACUUUGUUACCAAUCAUAUAUGUAUGCAGAUUUGCUAAUUUUGUAAUUUAUGUGAUGUUAUGAAAUUUCAGUUACAACUUUCAGAGAAAUUAAUGAGCAGUGUCAUUUUGAAGAAGGUAUCCCAAAACAAGGGAGUAUAUUUAGUCCCUCAUUCUUGACGAGGGACUAAUUAUUGGUGUAAAUUAUGUUACCUCAUUAUUGAUGUAAAUUAUGUUACCUCAAUAUUGAUGUUAAAGUCAUCUUGAUACGGAGAUUAUGCCAUGAUAUAAAUUUGAGACAAGUAAAGCUAGUAAUCUA